This 1346-nucleotide ribosomal RNA is filed under the name uncultured bacterium. RNAcentral describes it as "bacterial SSU rRNA". It matches the Rfam family "Bacterial small subunit ribosomal RNA", at positions 28 to 1381 of the family's 1533-position model. The record is from RNAcentral.
GACGAACGCUGGCGGCGUGCUUAACACAUGCAAGUCGAACGGAAAGGCCCUGCUUUUGUGGGGUGCUCGAGUGGCGAACGGGUGAGUAACACGUGAGUAACCUGCCCUUGACUUUGGGAUAACUUCAGGAAACUGGGGCUAAUACCGGAUAGGAGCUCCUGCUGCAUGGUGGGGGUUGGAAAGUUUCGGCGGUUGGGGAUGGACUCGCGGCUUAUCAGCUUGUUGGUGGGGUAGUGGCUUACCAAGGCUUUGACGGGUAGCCGGCCUGAGAGGGUGACCGGCCACAUUGGGACUGAGAUACGGCCCAGACUCCUACGGGAGGCAGCAGUGGGGAAUAUUGCACAAUGGGCGGAAGCCUGAUGCAGCAACGCCGCGUGCAGGAUGACGGCCUUCGGGUUGUAAACCGCUUUCGCCUGUGACGAAGCGUGAGUGACGGUAAUGGGUAAAGAAGCACCGGCUAACUACGUGCCAGCAGCCGCGGUGAUACGUAGGGCGCGAGCGUUGUCCGGAUUUAUUGGGCGUAAAGGGCUCGUAGGUGGUUGAUCGCGUCGGAAGUGUAAUCUUGGGGCUUAACCCUGAGCGUGCUUUCGAUACGGGUUGACUUGAGGAAGGUAGGGGAGAAUGGAAUUCCUGGUGGAGCGGUGGAAUGCGCAGAUAUCAGGAGGAACACCAGUGGCGAAGGCGGUUCUCUGGGCCUUUCCUGACGCUGAGGAGCGAAAGCGUGGGGAGCGAACAGGCUUAGAUACCCUGGUAGUCCACGCUGUAAACGGUGGGUACUAGGUGUGGGGUCCAUUCCACGGGUUCCGUGCCGUAGCUAACGCUUUAAGUACCCCGCCUGGGGAGUACGGCCGCAAGGCUAAAACUCAAAGGAAUUGACGGGGCCCCGCACAAGCGGCGGAGCAUGCGGAUUAAUUCGAUGCAACGCGUAGAACCUUACCUGGGUUUGACAUGGAUCGGGAGCGCUCAGAGAUGGGUGUGCCUCUUUUGGGGUCGGUUCACAGGUGGUGCAUGGCUGUCGUCAGCUCGUGUCGUGAGAUGUUGGGUUAAGUCCCGCAACGAGCGCAACCCUUGUUCACUGUUGCCAGCACGUUAUGGUGGGGACUCAGUGGAGACCGCCGGGGUCAACUCGGAGGAAGGUGGGGAUGACGUCAAGUCAUCAUGCCCCUUAUGUCCAGGGCUUCACGCAUGCUACAAUGGCUGGUACAGAGAGUGGCGAGCCUGUGAGGGUGAGCGAAUCUCGGAAAGCCGGUCUCAGUUCGGAUUGGGGUCUGCAACUCGACCUCAUGAAGUCGGAGUCGCUAGUAAUCGCAGAUCAGCAACGCUGCGGUGAAUACGUUCCCGGGGCU